CCUACGGGGAGCAGCAGUAGGGAAUCUUCCACAAUGGGCGAAAGCCUGAUGGAGCAACGCCGCGUGGGUGAAGAAGGUCUUCGGAUCGUAAAACCCUGUUGUUAGAGAAGAAAGUGCGUGAGCGUAACUGUUCACGUUUCGACGGUAUCUAACAAGAAAGCCACGGCUAACUACGUGCCAGCAGCCGCGGUAAUACGUAGGUGGCAUGCGUUAUCCGUAUUUAUUGGGCGUAAAGGGAACGCAGGUGUUCUUUUAAGUCUGAUGUGAAGGCCUUCGGCUUAACCGGAGUAGUGCAUGGGAAACUGGGAGACGUGAGUGCAGAAGAGGAAAGUGGAACUCCAGGUGUAGCGGUGAAAUGCGUAGAUAUAUGGAAGAACACCAGUGGCGAAAGCGGCUCUCUGGUCUGUAACUGACGCUGAGGUUCGAAAGCGUGGGUAGCAAACAGGAUUAGAUACCCUUGUAGGC
RNAcentral lists this ribosomal RNA (465 nucleotides) under uncultured bacterium. RNAcentral's name for it is "partial 16S ribosomal RNA". It matches the Rfam family "Bacterial small subunit ribosomal RNA", at positions 338 to 795 of the family's 1533-position model. The record is from RNAcentral.